UCUUUCUUCUUUUUUUUUCUCUUUCUUUCCUUUCCUUGCUGCGAAACCGGAACCCAUUUCCGGCGAAAUCACCGCCACCGUCCGCACCACCGGCCAUUAGAGGAUCCUCUCUUCCUCCUCUUGCAUCUAAGCUUGUUUUGAUCUAUGGAGGAAGAUUUGAAGGUGUUUGAGCGUGUGAACAGUAACGUGAACAGUAACUGUCGGGUUCUUGGUUUUUGUUUGAUUUCUCCGGCCUUUUCUGCUUGAUUUUGGUUGUUGUUGCAGGACGGAUUGAUCCCUUGAGCGAGGGGAUACGGGUAGGCAGCAGGAUUAGCUGCGAGACUCACCUUUUGCAGGCGAAUGAGUUGAGGUCGGGCGUACACGAAAUUGAGGCAUAGUCAGCAGCAUGGCUUCCGCAUCUGCCUUUGAAUUAGGGUGGCUCCAGGGGCAUAAGGAUGAUUCGAUUGAGAAGUGUAAAUGUUCCCUACAGGUUUGGGUUGCCCAUUUUAGGGGAAGUUCCGCCAAAUUUUUGGUAGAAUUUCUUCUAAGGUGGGCCCCGCAGGGUCACUUCGGAUUUCAGGGUGAAAUCCGGGGCGGGUCCUGUCA
Molecule: long non-coding RNA, 585 nt
Organism: Rosa rugosa (rugosa rose)
Lineage: Eukaryota; Viridiplantae; Streptophyta; Magnoliopsida; Rosales; Rosaceae
Exons: 5
Source: RefSeq, a predicted model, not a curated record